Molecule: ribosomal RNA, 253 nt
Filed under: uncultured bacterium
Lineage: Bacteria
Description: partial 16S ribosomal RNA
Rfam family: Bacterial small subunit ribosomal RNA
Source: RNAcentral
UACAGAGGGGGCAAGCGUUGUUCGGAAUUACUGGGCGUAAAGGGCGCGUAGGCGGCCUGUUAAGUCGAACGUGAAAUCCCCGGGCUCAACCCGGGAACUGCGUCCGAUACUGGCAGGCUUGAAUCCGGGAGAGGGAUGUGGAAUUCCAGGUGUAGCGGUGAAAUGCGUAGAUAUCUGGAGGAACACCGGUGGCGAAGGCGGCAUCCUGGACCAUUACUGACGCUUAAGCGCGAAAGCUAGGGGAGCAAACGGG